Molecule: unclassified non-coding RNA, 376 nt
Filed under: fungal sp.
Lineage: Eukaryota; Fungi
Description: partial internal transcribed spacer region
Rfam family: Eukaryotic small subunit ribosomal RNA (bases 1-46)
Source: RNAcentral
AAGUCGUAACAAGGUUUCCGUAGGUGAACCUGCGGAAGGAUCAUUACCAUAUCCAAAAAACUAUACCAACCCACCGUGUGAACUGUUGUUUUUUCCUACACUUGGGGUGCCGCUGUAAGGGAGGGGGUCUGCGUGGCACUGUGCAAACGGCGCUGCCUGCUCUUUUUUUUUUCGGCGAAGCCCCACCUGUGAGAAAAUUUUCCCCAAUCAACCCCUGGUCAAACCAAACCUUUACAACUCUGAAUUUUAUUUCUUUUUUUUUUGGCCAGGCUGGCUGGGCGUUCUGAACGUUGCGGUCUUCCUUGACAAUGAAAAAAACAAAUAACACAAAAACAAAACCAAUAGACAACUUAUGACGGUGGAUCUCUUGGCUCGU